Molecule: ribosomal RNA, 253 nt
Filed under: uncultured bacterium
Lineage: Bacteria
Description: partial 16S ribosomal RNA
Rfam family: Bacterial small subunit ribosomal RNA
Source: RNAcentral
UACGUAGGGCGCAAGCGUUGUCCGGAAUUAUUGGGCGUAAAGAGCUCGUAGGCGGCUUGUUGCGUCGGUUGUGAAAGCCCGGGGCUUAACCCCGGGUCUGCAGUCGAUACGGGCAGACUAGAGGUAGGCAGGGGAGAGCGGAACUCCUGGUGCAGCGGUGAAAUGCGCAGAUAUCAGGAGGAACACCGGUGGCGAAGGCGGAUCUCUGGGCCAUUACUGACGCUGAGGAGCGAAAGCGUGGGGAGCGAACAGG